RNAcentral lists this ribosomal RNA (497 nucleotides) under uncultured bacterium. RNAcentral describes it as "partial 16S ribosomal RNA". It matches the Rfam family "Bacterial small subunit ribosomal RNA", at positions 28 to 507 of the family's 1533-position model. The record is from RNAcentral.
GAUGAACGCUGGCGGCGUGCCUAAUACAUGCAAGUCGAGCGAACGAACGAGAAGCUUGCUUUUCUGAUGUUAGCGGCGGACGGGUGAGUAACACGUGGAUAACCUACCUAUAAGACUGGGAUAACUUCGGGAAACCGGAGCUAAUAUCGGAUAAUAUUUUGAACCGCAUGGUUCAAAAGUGAAAGACGGUCUUGCUGUCACUUAUAGAUGGAUCCGCGCUGCAUUAGCUAGUUGGUAAGGUAACGGCUUACCAAGGCAACGAUGCAUAGCCGACCUGAGAGGGUGAUCGGCCACACUGGAACUGAGACACGGUCCAGACUCCUACGGGAGGCAGCAGUAGGGAAUCUUCCGCAAUGGGCGAAAGCCUGACGGAGCAACGCCGCGUGAGUGAUGAAGGUCUUCGGAUCGUAAAACUCUGUUAUUAGGGAAGAACAUAUGUGUAAGUAACUGUGCACAUCUUGACGGUACCUAAUCAGAAAGCCACGGCUAACUACGUG